GCCCCUAUCGUCUAGUGGUUCAGGACAUCAGCUUCUCAAGCUGAGAACUCGGGUUCAAUUCCCGAUGGGGGCG
This 73-nucleotide transfer RNA is filed under the name Candidatus Wolfebacteria bacterium. Its description in RNAcentral is "tRNA-Glu". It matches the Rfam family "tRNA". Rfam says of the family: Transfer RNA (tRNA) molecules are approximately 80 nucleotides in length. Their secondary structure includes four short double-helical elements and three loops (D, anti-codon, and T loops). Lineage: Bacteria; Candidatus Wolfeibacteriota. The record is from RNAcentral.